This 515-nucleotide ribosomal RNA is filed under the name uncultured bacterium. RNAcentral describes it as "bacterial SSU rRNA". It matches the Rfam family "Bacterial small subunit ribosomal RNA", at positions 62 to 570 of the family's 1533-position model. The record is from RNAcentral.
UCGAGGGGUAACGGAAGUAGCUUGCUACUAGACGACGACCGGCGCACGGGUGAGUAACGCGUAUGUAAUCUGCCUUGUACAGAGGGAUAGCCCAGAGAAAUUUGGAUUAAUACCUCAUAGUAUUACUGAAUCGCAUGAUUUGGUAAUUAAAGCUCCGGCGGUACAAGAUGAACAUGCGUGACAUUAGCUAGUUGGUAAGGUAACGGCUUACCAAGGCCACGAUGUCUAGGGGUUCUGAGAGGAUGAUCCCCCACGCUGGUACUGAGACACGGACCAGACUCCUACGGGAGGCAGCAGUGAGGAAUAUUGGUCAAUGGACGCAAGUCUGAACCAGCCAUCCCGCGUGAAGGAUGACUGCCCUAUGGGUUGUAAACUUCUUUUAUAUGCAAAUAAACCUACUUUCGUGAAAGUAGCUGAAGGUAGCAUAUGAAUAAACACCGGCUAACUCCGUGCCAGCAGCCGCGGUAAUACGGAGGGUGUAAGCGUUAUCCGGAUUUAUUGGGUUUAAAGGGUAC